AUUUUGGCAAGAUGGGAAAGUUACAAUAACAAAUAUUUUGCCUGGUUCUCAAAGGAAAGAGGUAAUUUUAUGACAUUUAUGACAUGACCCUAGAAGUGGAAACAUGGUCCAAUCACUGUGAAAGAACUUUGACUUCAUCAGGAUAUGAAAAUGCAGCCAUGAAUUGUUCAAAUUGUUGAGUGAUGAUAAAACUUCAGGCAUUAAGAUGGAUCUGCCAACAGCAAUCACCUCAAAAAGGCUAUGACAGUGACAUAAGUC
Molecule: long non-coding RNA, 258 nt
Filed under: Parus major (Great Tit)
Lineage: Eukaryota; Metazoa; Chordata; Aves; Passeriformes; Paridae
Description: lncRNA (ENSPMJG00000012947.1)
Source: RNAcentral